CCCUUAGAUGUCCGGGGCCGCACGCGCGCUACACUGAAGGAAUCAGCGUGGCUUUCUCCCUGACCCGAAAGGGUUGGGAAACCCGUUGAAUCUCCUUCGUGAUAGGGAUUGGGGCUUGAAAUUGUUCCCCAUGAACGAGGAAUUCCCAGUAAGCGCGAGUCGUAAGCUCGCGUUGAUUACGUCCCUGCCCUUUGUACACACCGCCCGUCACUACUACCGAUUGAACGGUUUAGUGAGGGCCUCGGAUUGGUCUCGGCCCGCUCUUUACCGGGCGGCGCCGUUGGUCGAGAAGACGCUCGAACUUGAUCGUUUAGAGGAAGUAAAAGUCGUAACA
Molecule: ribosomal RNA, 334 nt
Filed under: uncultured eukaryote
Lineage: Eukaryota
Description: partial 18S ribosomal RNA
Rfam family: Eukaryotic small subunit ribosomal RNA
Source: RNAcentral